Molecule: long non-coding RNA, 2066 nt
Organism: Hordeum vulgare subsp. vulgare (domesticated barley)
Lineage: Eukaryota; Viridiplantae; Streptophyta; Magnoliopsida; Poales; Poaceae
Exons: 4
Source: RefSeq, a predicted model, not a curated record
AUCAACUGUUUGAUGAAUUGCUAGAAGAAAUUGUACGUUUUUUUGCUCUAUGUUUGAAGCGGGUAAAAUGUGAUUUAGCCGUUCUUUCGAAAAUCACUCAUGAAAGCUUUUGAACAUGAGGUGAAGUAGUCCAGUUGACCAAAUGUGGUGGCCUAUCACCGACCGAGGCGGUGGAUUUCCUAAGGUGGGUAACUGCCCUCUGUUGAUUGCUCUGCGACGUCUUGCUGAAUUCUACUUGUUGCACGGAGGUGGAACAAACGUCAUCUCGGAGGCAGGCAGGGAGGGAGGUCACUCUUAGUUAUUCUGCAUGUUUGCUUGGUCUCCUGAUCGCUACCAUGAAGGUGAUUUUGAUUGCACUGGAUCUUAUUUUUUGCUUAGGAUGUGCUGCUGCUCUUCUAUGAUCUGAUAUGUGCUCUUUUUCCACAGAUUGGUGAUAAGUGAGCAGGCAGUUUGUCAUUGUUCGUGAAUCGUCUCUUUAGUCUUCCUCUUUGCUCUGCUCGGCUUUAUAAUAAGGACACUAUGACACUAUGGUAUUACUUCAAAUAUGUCAGCAAGCCACUUUAGAGCCUUGCUACAUUUACGUCAGUAUUUGCUUCACUUUAGUGCAUCAUGGUCUUUGGUCGUUCAUUUCAUCCUGAAGAGCAACAAUCAGGUCGCUUCCCUUCCCCCCUUUUUCUCUAUUUCAAAACUCUUCUUUCACCUUUGCAGACUUCCUAUGAGAACUUCAAGUAUGUGUGCGCACGACGGGCUAGCCCAUAUGAUAGUACUGCUUGGAGCUGACAUAGAGAUUAAUUAAAUUAAUCUUUAGUUCUUCUCUUCAUUUUUUCAUCAGUCAACCUUAAGAUAAACUCUCUUAAAAAAUCAUGUUUUCUUCUUCUUUGAAAUGAUUUGAUAUGAUAUAAUUGUAGAGAUCAUUUUUGUAGCUAUAUGUGUUCAAUACAGAUUACAUUAUUUGAGCUCUCUCAUGCUAUAUUCAAUAAGAAUAGUAUAUAGUACUGGAAAGCUUAUCUUAUAACAAUGAGGGUGUAAGGCACUACUUACAAUCAUUAUGGGGUAAUUUUUGACAUAUUAUUACAUUUUUCUAACCCAAACAAUAUUUUUUGAAAUGCUCUUAGGCUAGGCUGGUGAGAUGCACAGGAGCCCUGGUUAUAGGUGAAGGGAGGUGUUGUGUAGAAGAGGGUUUUUUCUAGCUAUGUGAGCCCAAGAUGUGUGAUGUUCAAGAAGGUAGGGUGGCCAUGUUUCAUUUCUUCUUAGGACAUAAAUAUGUGAAAAAUAUUAAUGCACUUCUCUCUUGAUGGAAUAACUGUGCAUUGAGGUAUAUGCAAUCAUUACCUUCAUGAUUUGAAGAUCCGUGCUGCUGUGGAACAGGAGGGCAAUUAAGAUCGUCAGCAACUCGUCGCAUGGCAACUCCAAGAUGCUUGUGUCCACUAGAUUUCUCAUUUAGUAUAUGUUCCUUGCUGCUGCGGCAGAUUGGAUUGGUGGGUCAUAUAUAUUUGGUUCUAUAAUGGCAAGUUGAUCAAAAUCACGUGGUCUUCUUUAGGUUUAAGAAAAAUGGAUGUAAAACGACAAGGAAGGUCCUGAUCAGAUGUGGUGGCUGCUGCGGCUGGUGGUGCUCUGGGCGCGCAAGGGGAGCGCCUCCGCUUGCUCAAGAUUGCCACAACCAUGCCAGCUUCGGCGGCAUGCGCAGUGACUGGUUGCACUAUGGCUAACUUGAAUUCCCCUGCACGCACAUGCUCCAGUUUAUCCUCUGCAUCGCAUCCUUCGCCCCGAACACUCUCCCUGGCGUCUAUGACAACAAUCAGUACUUCUUCGAUGCCGCGAGAGGGAUGUUGACUGCAUGGAGGACUACCACGAUGGCGUGCAAAACGAGGAGAACCGGGCGGAUGAGCAACUGCUCUGUAAUGGCAAGUCCUCGUGGCUGCAAUACAAUGACAUGGAGAGGUGCUAGAUACAGUCCUAAGAAUGUUUGUUUAUUUACCGAGUUUGAUAAACUUUUGGAUAAGCCAUUGUAUGUGUAAUGCAUCUUGUAAGCAAAUAGAUAGCUCACUGCUACUCCCUUUUGUUUA